UGGAGGCAACAAGAUCCUCUAUUAAGGAUAGAAGAUCUGUACUCCUCAGAAGAUCCUGCAAUGGGUAUCUGGGGGGGGCACCCCCAAUCCCUUUGGCUACACACUGCAACUUUACUGCUUUCUCUCUUCCACCCAGGGGCAACUCUAGAACAACCAGUUGCAGGGAGCAAAGGGGUGGAAAGCAAGGAUUUUGCUAUAUAUUAAAUACUUAUAGAGAGUCGAAAGUUGCAACAGAGAAAGGUGGCAAGCAGUAAAUAUUUGGAGAGUUGGACCUACUGCUGUGAAAUUCAAGCCUCUGUCUUCUCUGCUCCUGUAUGCCACUGCUUUGGACAAAGGGAAGUAGAUGAUGCCCCAGAGGAAUUUAAACAAGGCCCUGUCCACAUGUACUAGAACCGCUGUUGGUACCGGAUAAAUACUGGCCAGAAAGUCUGCUCAAGCGACGCAGUAGGUCAAGUAAAACAUGACUUUUUUGUACACGGUAAGACCUCAGCUUUUCCAUGUCUGUAGGCACUUCAAGGACAAGUUCUUAUCUUCCCACUCCAGCCACACAUUUCUCCUGCUCUCAGGGAUACUAGUCUAUUCCUAUUCAGAUCUCAGUCAAGCUUUGUGAUGUGGGAGCAGGGAGAUUUUUCUGUGUUUUUACUUCCUAUUCUUGACAACAGGGUCUUGUUUUGCUGCCACCUUAUAUGCUCUCUUCAUAAUAAUGAACUCUCUUUAUUGAGGUCUUCAGUUUUGUAACGCACUGAUGUAGGCAUGAGGGUACAGACCUCACAGACCUCCUUGGUUAUUUCACAAAACAAAGAUGUAUUCAUUUACAGUUGCUGAGGUUUGCUUGUUUCUCUACUUAAUAAGUUGGGUAGUUCUCUUGCUUGAUUACAAAAUGGUUUAUUUUGCAGAACAGUGCACUACACUUUACGAGCCAUCUAAUGGCGUAGUGGGGAAAUGGCUUGACUACCAAGCCAGAGGUUGCUGGUUUGAAUCACCGCUGGUAUGUUUCCCAGACUAUGGGAAACACCUGUAUCAGGCAGCAGUGAUAUAGGAAGAUGCUGAAAGGCAUCCGCUCAUACUGCACGGGAGAUGACAAUGGCAAACCCUUCCUGUAUUCUACCAAAGAUACCCACAGGGCUCUGUGAUUGCCAGGAGUCAACUCCGACUCACUUUAUACUACACUUUCAUUCACUUCUGGCUAAAACACUUCUAUGGGUCUGGUUUUUACCACUCUUUCUUCCCAGAGCUCAUAUAUUAGAGUUACAACUAUAAACAGAAAAGAGGUCUGUGUGUGACACCAAGAUUCACAAAUACAGUAGAAAACCCCAGUCUUAAGUUAUUCAAGAUACAAAAAUAUUGUCCUUAGAAAGAAGGUCAAAACACUCUGGGGUGGGUAACAGAUCAUUGAUUUAGUAAUACUGUAAUGAAGUCUAUGUGCCCUGCUUUUCAGAGAUUAUUAUUUCCAUAUUAAGUAAAUAAUAAACUUGUUCUAAUUUGUUU
Hemicordylus capensis (graceful crag lizard) is the source of this 1488-nucleotide long non-coding RNA. RefSeq lists it as uncharacterized. The record is from RefSeq and is a predicted model, not a curated record. NCBI's taxonomy places the organism in Eukaryota, Metazoa, Chordata, Lepidosauria, Squamata, Cordylidae. The transcript is spliced from 2 exons.